AACGAACGCUGGCGGCGCGCCUAAUACAUGCAAGUCGAGCGAGAAGACGUAGCAAUACGUUUGUAAAGCGGCGAACGGGUGAGGAAUACAUGGGUAACCUACCCUCGAGUGGGGAAUAACUAGCCGAGAGGUUAGCUAAUACCGCGUACGCUCCUUGGACUUCGGUUCAGGGAGGAAAGCGAUACCGUGGGUAUCGCGCUCUUGGAUGGGCUCAUGUCCUAUCAGCUUGGGUGAGGUAACGGCUCACCAAGGCUUCGACGGGUAGCUGGUCUGAGAGGACGAUCAGCCACACUGGCACUGCGACACGGGCCAGACUCC
This 318-nucleotide ribosomal RNA is filed under the name uncultured bacterium. RNAcentral describes it as "bacterial SSU rRNA". It matches the Rfam family "Bacterial small subunit ribosomal RNA", at positions 29 to 339 of the family's 1533-position model. The record is from RNAcentral.